Molecule: non-coding RNA, 490 nt
Organism: Meleagris gallopavo (turkey)
Lineage: Eukaryota; Metazoa; Chordata; Aves; Galliformes; Phasianidae
Source: RefSeq, a predicted model, not a curated record
UCUAAAUUCCAUGUUCUAUUAUGAACUCAUGCAAGGUUCCAUUCAAAGUCCAGUGAAACUUUCUUACAGCUACAAAUGGAAAUUAAUCAGAUCGGAGAUUUGCUGUGAAAGAAAGAAAAGGAGCCAACUACGUCAUGAGUCUCAAAUCAAGGAAGACAAAAAGGGAGAACUGCAUCCACUUGGUUUUGCUCUCCACUGUGAAAGACAAUUACUGAGAUGGAAUCCAACCACCAUGAGUUUAAGCAAAAUCUGAAAAGAUAUGUUGGAACAGAAGUAUUUCCUCAGCAAAAACAUGGGAUGGGAGCAUCAUUCACAGGAAGAAAAGCCACAGGCACACAAGGCAGCAGAGCCAAAUCAACUACCAAUAAAAUCUUUAUCCGCUCCUAUAAGUUUCAUAGCACAAUUCUUUGGGAAAAAAAAUGGCCUCUCGUACAUGUCCUUCAGGACUUAUGACUUUUGCACUAGAAGAAGCAGUAACAUAGUUGAUGGU